GCCGAUUAAAAUCUGUUCUCACUGCGUAGCUUUCUUUUAUCUUUGACAGCCGUCACUAUUACCCCCGCUUUACAGAUUAGAGCACUGACACGGAGCGGCCGACCACCCUGCCCCCAGGCCCUCCGCGGAGCUGGGCCUUCCCCCACCCCGCCAAGUCUCGCGGUCUCCGCAGGCGCGGAGAGCACGAGCCUCUCGCCCCUAGCGGAGCAGCUGCGAGCUUCCAGCGGGACAGCAGGUGGUGGAGACCAGCUGCCCCUUCCCAGCCUGCGCCCCGAUGCUGCGCGCCCUGACCGGCGCCCUGCGCCUGCCAGGCCCCUGGAGCCGCCCCCCGACCCGCGGCUGCGCCUCGGACGCGGCGGCCGGGGACCCGGAGAUCCAAGUGCGCGCCCUGGCCGCCGCAGACCAAGGAAUCACUGAGAUUCUGAUGAACAGACCGAGUGCCUGCAAUGCCCUGGGGAAUGUCUUGGUCAGCCAGGCUGGGAAGUAUCUGAUGGUGUUUCCUGUACAGCUGCUAGAAGCUCUGGCCCAGCUUCGGGAGGAUCAGCAAGUGCGUGUCCUGCUCUUCAGAAGUGGAGUGAAGGGUGUGUUCUGUGCAGGUGCAGACCUGAAGGAGCGGGAGCAGAUGAGUGAGGCGGAGGUAGGGGUCUUCAUACACCGGCUCCGAGGCUUGAUGAAUGAGAUUGGUCCCUGCCCUGGUCCUGCCAGGGCCUCUCAGGCCGAGCCCUUCUUCAUCUCCACAGCAGCCUUCCCUGCGCCCACCAUUGCAGCUAUGGAUGGGUUUGCCUUGGGUGGAGGCCUGGAACUUGCCCUGGCCUGUGAUCUCCGAGUGGCAGCAGCUUCCUCAGCUGUCAUGGGGCUGAUUGAGACCACCAGAGGGCUCCUCCCAGGAGCAGGAGGGACUCAGAGGCUGCCUCGAUGUCUGGGGGUGGCCCUGGCAAAGGAGCUCAUCUUCACUGGUCGACGCCUGAGUGGGGCACAGGCCCAGGCCCUGGGGCUGGUGAACCAUGCUGUGGCCCCAAACGAGGAGGGCGAUGCUGCCUACCACCGGGCACUGGCACUGGCCCAGGAGAUCCUACCCCAGGCCCCCAUUGCUGUGCGGCUGGGCAAAGUAGCCAUUGACCGAGGAAUAGAGACCUGAGCUGGGAACUGGAACACAGAGAUGAGUCAGACAUGGUCAUCACCCCCAGUUUGGGGAAGGGGACAGAGAGAGACACAAAUCACUAAUAAAAGGUGGACAUUGCAUCAGGGAUGACCAUUGAAGGGAUAUGCUAUGCCCAGAAUAUUCCCACCCGGGAUCGGCUCGAGGGCAUGGCAGCCUUCAGGGAGAAGCGUCCCCCCCGAUUUCUUGGCGAGUGACUCCCAUUUAACUUUAAGCAUGGAAGAUGUGCCUCUGAAAGGGCAAGAUCUAGAAGGAAAAUUUGCAGUGUGACUAUUCUCAUCAUCUCACCUCUCUGGGCUUCAGUUUCCUCACAAGGACAAUGAUGGGUAUAAAAUGACUGGCAUGGUACCUGGUACUAAGGUGCUGACCCUGCCACCCACAGCUCUCUGUAUCAUUUCUCUCCCUGGUUGGAAAGUCGCUGGGGAUGGAUUUGCUUUGGAGAAAACCUCUCUCUCCCUACUCUACUGAUAAACUAAGGAUUAAAAAACAGACUCUCUGGACCUUUGUAUGGCUGGCUCUCAGGCCUGACCUCUGCCUUUCAGUUAGCAGGUGCUCACCAGAGAUGGCGGGAGGUUAUACAAACAUCCCGAUUGCUUUCUCUGUGCAGUAGAGAUAAUAAGGACACCCUGGCAGUAGUUGAACAGGCAUCAGGAAUGAGACUGCAGAUUCCAGCUCUCUGCCAGUUACUCACUGUAUGGCUCUACUUCCUUAUCUGCAAAAUGAAACUGUUGUGACUUAAAAAAUGUCUCAUGUUCAAUAAACCUGUGUUAUUAUUAGUGUA
Manis javanica (Malayan pangolin) is the source of this 1940-nucleotide RNA transcript. It is a transcript of the gene named enoyl-CoA hydratase domain containing 2, with no coding region annotated. NCBI's taxonomy places the organism in Eukaryota, Metazoa, Chordata, Mammalia, Pholidota, Manidae. The record is from RefSeq and is a predicted model, not a curated record.